UGCUCAUAACCCUGGUACUCUCGGGCA
Molecule: non-coding RNA, 27 nt
Filed under: Mus musculus (house mouse)
Lineage: Eukaryota; Metazoa; Chordata; Mammalia; Rodentia; Muridae
Source: RNAcentral